CUGGCGGUGUUGGUUCCCAUCACUCACUCCCCCAUAUUUGUGUAGUCUGCCUGUAACCAUCCUGAGUCUCUAUUCGGGCCCCCUGGGAGGGGGGGUUCCUCUGAAUGGCCCCUUCUUACAAUGUGGGGCACAAACCCUAAGCCGGCUCUCCAAUUGAGCUGCUCUCUUAGUGGGUUCCCAGCCCGUGGCAGGGGGCAUGACCAUUGGUUACCCAUGGCAUGCCCGCUGUUGGCGCCGGACCAUUCGGCGGCGUUGACAUGCCACUGUUGGUUGUGAUGGGCAUAUCCGUAUGCCCACCUGCACAUUCGUGGCUCUCACUGUUAGCGAUGGACCAGUCGGUGGCUCUGACAUGCUAUGGGACACCUCCCAGUGCAGCAUGCUCAGAUGCUUCCCUCACAGCCAUGGCAUCAUGCUCUUGGUGCUGGACCAUUCGGCAGCACUGAUAUGUCAUGACCAGCUGUGCUCCUACCGUUGAUGCGGUUGGUCUUAUCCAUGUACUCCUGGGGUUGUUACCAACCCCUCGGCUGUGGUUACAGGCAGGAUCUCGGGGAGUGGCCCUCGUGAAAUUCCAAACCUCCUCCCUCCUCAUUUGAGGUUUCCGGAGGCCGAUAGUCAUUAAACAGUGCUUAGUACAAUUUUGAAAAGCAUUUCUUAAUUUUUAGGUAAUCCUGAAAGUGCAUCCAAGGCAGUUGAAAAGAAGCAUCAUAAACUAUUGAAAAAUCUAUAUUUAACAGAAAUAUAAUUUGAUGAGAGGAGUUUGAAAUGUUGCAUUCGUUACAGGAGGCCUAAAAGAAGACAACAAGAAAGUUAAAAAAUGAAUUGUAUUAUUAUGAACAAGUGUGAUGCUGAAACAUUUUUGCUACAAUUAAGUUAUAAUCUGAUUACAAGUCAUGUUAAGAAUAAAAAUUUGACAGUAAUGGAAUGAAGGAACUUAACAGAAGUGGCAUUCUAUGUAAUGAUUCCAGGCUAGGUUAACUUAAGUUGAA
This is a long non-coding RNA of Amphimedon queenslandica, 986 nucleotides long. RefSeq lists it as uncharacterized. The record is from RefSeq and is a predicted model, not a curated record. NCBI's taxonomy places the organism in Eukaryota, Metazoa, Porifera, Demospongiae, Haplosclerida, Niphatidae. The transcript is spliced from 2 exons.